This 1119-nucleotide long non-coding RNA is filed under the name Dromaius novaehollandiae (emu). RNAcentral describes it as "lncRNA (ENSDNVG00000016231.1)". Lineage: Eukaryota; Metazoa; Chordata; Aves; Casuariiformes; Dromaiidae. The record is from RNAcentral.
CCUAUCAAAAAAGAACCUUUAUAAAUAUGAACGCCAGAAUUAAAGCUAAAGGAAAUGGAUCCUGUUGCUGUUCUCUGGAGACACGUUAUAUCAUUCCUGCGCAUUUUUUAAGUCAAUAACGUUGCAGAGACUGGUAUAAUUAAGAGUUGCAUGCAGAAAGGUGGAGGUUGUUGGUAAAAGGGGAAUGGGAAGACAAUUGCAUAAUCUGAUACUUUAAAAUUUCUGAAAUCCCAGGAAGAUCUCUGKUUUUUUAAUUGCUUUUUUAAAACAUUUUAAAAUAUGUUUGAGGUCAAUUUAGCUGGAAUAAUUUAGAAAAGUUAGUAAUAGUAGAAAUAUACUAGCCAAGGUAGUCUAAGGUAUAAGCCAGGCGAGUUUURUGGGAAGAGAUACUGUAUUUUAUUAGAUGAGCUAAUAUGUUUGUGAAAAGCAUACAAGCUUUUGGGCUUACUAGCCGUUGAUACCAUGCAUAAGCUUCAAAUAAGUUUUCAAGGAUCUUUAGCAUUGAUAUGAAUAGGACUUCUUUAACUCAGCAUGUUGCCAUAACUGAACCUUUUAACUUCUUCCUUUCAGAUUAGAUCCUAAAAGACUGUUGCGUAGGUAUUGGCCUUUUCUGUGCCAAUCCACCGAGGUCUGUCAGCAUAUAUGUAAAACUCGCCAAGAGUGUAUUUUGUGUAUGAUCUGCUAUACAAAUCUAAAUAUCCCAUUUUGUAGGAAGUAGUUAGGUAUUAGGGCUAUGAAAUGGCACAAUCAUGUAGGUAGCUAAUUUGUAACAGCUUGGUACUUUUUUCUGUGAAUGUAGCGAUAGGCAGAAUCCCUGCUUAUGUUCAUGCACCCCCUGAUUGCCCCGUGAUAUAUGUACAUUUGAGAGGGGAGGAAUAGUUUGGGAUAGGAGGAACGGCUGUCCUCACAUUUAGAGUCAAUAUAUUUUUAUUGUGGACUUAACGGAUAAGAAUCACUCCAUACGCAAUCAACAGGCUAUUAUUCACUAAUGCUAUAUCCAGCUAGCAGGAACGUGAACGGAUUUUUAUUKCACCAAGGAAUUCUAGCCACAUAUUGACAAAGGAAAAUAUAGCUAUUGUGUAAAUUCAGCAAUGCUAAAAAAUAUGCUAUUGGUAACAU